Molecule: ribosomal RNA, 412 nt
Filed under: uncultured bacterium
Lineage: Bacteria
Description: bacterial SSU rRNA
Rfam family: Bacterial small subunit ribosomal RNA
Source: RNAcentral
AAUCAACGCUGGCGGCGUGCCUCAGACAUGCAAGUCGAACGCGAAAUUUCCCUUCGGGGAGAAGUAGAGUGGCGCACGGGUGAGUAACACGUAGGUAAUUUGCCUUUGGGUGGGGAAUAACUCAGGGAAACUUGAGCUAAUACCGCAUAAUGCAGCGGCUCGACAUCGAGACAGUUGUUAAAGCGGGGGAUUGGAGCAAUCCGACCUCGCGCCUAAAGAGAAGCCUGCGGCAGAUUAGCUAGUUGGUAAGGUAAUGGCUUACCAAGGCGACGAUCUGUAACCGGCCUGAGAGGGCGGUCGGUCACACUGACACUGACAUACGGGUCAGACUCCUACGGGAGGCAGCAGUCGGGAAUUUUGGGCAAUGGGCGCAAGCCUGACCCAGCAACGCCGCGUGAAGGAUGAAAUUUUC